Molecule: ribosomal RNA, 233 nt
Filed under: uncultured bacterium
Lineage: Bacteria
Description: partial 16S ribosomal RNA
Rfam family: Bacterial small subunit ribosomal RNA
Source: RNAcentral
CACGGGUGAGUAACACGUAUGCAACCUACCUGUAAGAGGGGAAUAACCCGGAGAAAUUCGGACUAACACCGCAUAAUACCAAUUAACUGCAUGGUUGAUUGGUUAAAUAUUUAUAGCUUACAGAUGGGCAUGCGUAUGAUUAGAUAGUUGGUGAGGUAACGGCUCACCAAGUCAACGAUCAUUAGGGGUUCUGAGAGGAAGGUCCCCCACACUGGUACUGAGAUACGGACCAG